This 504-nucleotide ribosomal RNA is filed under the name Coccinella hieroglyphica (hieroglyphic ladybird). Its description in RNAcentral is "partial large subunit ribosomal RNA". The stretch from base 378 to 504 matches the Rfam family "Bacterial large subunit ribosomal RNA", at positions 2473 to 2600 of the family's 2925-position model. Lineage: Eukaryota; Metazoa; Arthropoda; Insecta; Coleoptera; Coccinellidae. The record is from RNAcentral.
UUUGAUAAUAAUUUAAAGUAGGGCCUGCCCACUGAAUUUUUAAAGGGCCGCAGUAUUUUGACUGUGCAAAGGUAGCAUAAUCAUUAGUUUUUUAAUUGAAAGCUUGUAUGAAUGGUUUGAUGAAAAAAUAACUUUCUAUGUUUAAAUUUUUAAAAAUUUUAUUUUUAAGUUAAAAAGCUUAAAUUUUUUUAAUAGACGAGAAGACCCUAUAGAGUUUAAUUUUAAUAAAUUUUUAAAUUUAUAGAAUUAAGAAAUUUUAAAUUUUAUUAUAAUUUGGUUGGGGUGACUGAAAAAUUUAAUAAACUUUUUUUAAUUAUAUACAUAGAUUUAUGAAAAUUUGAUCCAUUUAAAUGAUUAAAAGAAUAAAUUACCUUAGGGAUAACAGCGUUAUUUUUUUUUAGAGUUCAAAUCGAAAAAAGAGAUUGCGACCUCGAUGUUGGAUUAAAGUAAAUUUUAGGUGUAGAAGCUUAAAAAUUUGGUCUGUUCGACCAUUAAAACUUUACA